GGAAAGGGCGGGGAGGGGGCGGCGGUAAUACGGGGGGUGGAGGCGUUAAACGGACGUAGCGGGCGUACAGCGUGAGCAGGGGGUGAUGUAAGACAGAGGUGAAAUCCCCGGGCUCAACCUGGGAACUGCAUUGGUGACUGCAUAGCUAGAGUACGGCAGAGGGGGAUGGAAUUCCGCGUGUAGCAGUGAAAUGCGUAGAUAUGCGGAGGAACACCGAUGGCGAAGGCAAUCCCCUGGGCCUGUACUGACGCUCAUGCACGAAAGCGUGGGGAGCAAACAGGAUUAGAUACCCUGGUAGUC
RNAcentral lists this ribosomal RNA (300 nucleotides) under uncultured Sulfophobococcus sp. RNAcentral's name for it is "bacterial SSU rRNA". It matches the Rfam family "Bacterial small subunit ribosomal RNA", at positions 496 to 795 of the family's 1533-position model. The record is from RNAcentral. Lineage: Archaea; Thermoproteati; Thermoproteota; Thermoprotei; Desulfurococcales; Desulfurococcaceae.